This 527-nucleotide long non-coding RNA is filed under the name Physcomitrium patens. RNAcentral describes it as "long non-coding RNA (PPAT_LNC006649)". The record is from RNAcentral. Lineage: Eukaryota; Viridiplantae; Streptophyta; Bryopsida; Funariales; Funariaceae.
UUUUAACUAAUUUUGAUAUGGAUUGAAGGAUAGCAUCAAAGAUUUGUUAUUAACAAUGCCAAAAGUAAAAUCUUUGGAAUAAUUUAUUACUUAAGCCAUUACAUGCGAUAAUCAUUUAUUUGAAAGACAUCAAGAACAAAGAUUUAAUUGAAGAGGAAGAAGUCAAGUAAUGGCGGCAGCUCCUAAGUUUUUUAAAACGUAUUUGUCAAAGUCGGAACCAAUGUAAAUUGAUAUGAUAUAUUUAAAAUCUCUCACGAAGCACAAAAAGUCUCGACUUCACCAAGAAGGAUUGUGUUUAUAUUGUGGAGAAGCUAAGCACAUUAUUCAAUAUUUUCCAAAGAAGCAACACAAUUAUAAAAUGAAGAGCACAAUUACCAAAGAAGAUAGUAUGUCAAAAAAUGAGUUUCUCUAGCUACAAUAGGAACCGUGCGGCUGGAAUCAUGUGCAAUACCUAGUAAAGGACUUAUCUUCUCCUCAGACCCCUCACCUUAUUUUAUAAUAGAAGUAUAUUUAGGACCUAAUAAUCA